This 405-nucleotide ribosomal RNA is filed under the name uncultured bacterium. RNAcentral describes it as "partial 16S ribosomal RNA". It matches the Rfam family "Bacterial small subunit ribosomal RNA", at positions 28 to 526 of the family's 1533-position model. The record is from RNAcentral.
GACGAACGCUGGCGGCGUGCUUAACACAUGCAAGUCGAGCGGAGCGGCGAACGGGUGAGUAACGCGUGAGUAACUGCCCCCCUCUCUGGGAUAAAAGUUGGAAACGGCUGCUAAUACCGGAUAGUGGGGGGGGACUCGCGCCCUAGCCGCUUGGUGGUGGGGUAGUGGCCUACCAAGGCGACGACGGGUAGCCGGCCUGAGAGGGCGACCGGCCAAAGUGGGCUGGGAGACGGCACGAACUCCUACGGGGUGCAGCAGUGGGGAAUAUUGCCCAAUGGGGGAAACCCUGAUGCAGCAACGCCGCGUGCGGGAGGUCGGCCUUCGUGUUGUAAACCGCUUUCAGCCAUGACGCGGUAGUGGCAUAAGAAUAACCGGCUGACUACGUACCAGCAGCCGCGGUAAUUC